CUUUUCUCAUAUUUGACACACAUCAGCAGUGAGCAAGAACUGAACUGAUCCCUGAAAAAUUUCUAGUCCCCUUGAGGCUUGAAGAAUCAGCCCAGAGUUUGAAACAAUUUAAGAGCUUCUGCUCCUCUGUUGUGCUGUGUCAACCACCAAGUUGUGCCAGCUGAGAAUUGUGGUCUCAGGUCUCCAUCCAGAUCUUUGGUUGUGUGGCCACAUGGAUUCAGGCAGCUGAACUUGAGCAUGGAGGCACAGGCUUUCCCUCUAAGGGUCUCAGGAAGACCACCAAACAUCAGGGGAAACCGAGGCUGA
This 306-nucleotide long non-coding RNA is filed under the name Piliocolobus tephrosceles (Ugandan red Colobus). Its description in RNAcentral is "lncRNA (ENSPTEG00000027883.1)". The record is from RNAcentral. Lineage: Eukaryota; Metazoa; Chordata; Mammalia; Primates; Cercopithecidae.